UACGUAGGUGGCAAGCGUUGUCCGGAUUUAUUGGGCGUACAGGGCGCGCAGGCGGUUCGUUAGGUUCGAGGUGAAAUCUCUUGGCUCAACUGGGAGAGGUCUUCGGAUACCGGCGGACUUGAGGAGAACAGAGGUGAGUGGAAUUCUGGGUGUAGUGGUGAAAUGCGUAGAUAUCCAGAGGAACACCAGUGGCGAAGGCGACUCACUGGGCUCCACCUGACGCUGAGGCGCGAAAGCGUGGGGAGCGAACCGG
This 253-nucleotide ribosomal RNA is filed under the name uncultured bacterium. RNAcentral describes it as "partial 16S ribosomal RNA". It matches the Rfam family "Bacterial small subunit ribosomal RNA", at positions 524 to 776 of the family's 1533-position model. The record is from RNAcentral.